GGAGCAUGUGGCUUAAUUUGACUCAACGCGGGAAAUCUUACCGGGUCCGGACACACUGAGGAUUGACAGGUAUUAUAUAGCACGCACUUCGGUGUGUCUAUUGUUAAAUAUGCUAGUCCUUUCAUGAUUAUGUGAUAGGUGGUGCAUGGCCGUUCUUAGUUCGUGGAGUGAUCUGUCUGCUUAAUUGCGUUUCAGAUAAGGAUCUAUAUUCUUUACGUGAGUGAUUGCAGACCCCUUUCUCACGAGAGUGUGUGUCUCGCAUGAUCUCUCUACAUUAGGUCCUGAAAGCAACGAACGUGACCGCAACCUCUUGUUGCCUCAUCUCCCCAUAUCAACUAGGUAGUUUCGGCUACUUAACGUAUCAUUGAGGCUUUCCAAAACUAGAGGGACCGCUGUCAACUUCUUAAACCAGAGGAAGGUUGCGGCAAUAACAGGUCCU
RNAcentral lists this ribosomal RNA (439 nucleotides) under Globigerinita glutinata. RNAcentral describes it as "SSU rRNA". It matches the Rfam family "Eukaryotic small subunit ribosomal RNA", at positions 1178 to 1464 of the family's 1831-position model. Lineage: Eukaryota; Foraminifera; Rotaliida; Globigerinitidae. The record is from RNAcentral.